RNAcentral lists this ribosomal RNA (579 nucleotides) under uncultured bacterium. RNAcentral's name for it is "partial 16S ribosomal RNA". It matches the Rfam family "Bacterial small subunit ribosomal RNA", at positions 355 to 926 of the family's 1533-position model. The record is from RNAcentral.
UGGGGAAUUUUGGACAAUGGGCGAAAGCCUGAUCCAGCAAUGCCGCGUGUGUGAAGAAGGCCUUCGGGUUGUAAAGCACUUUUGUCCGGAAAGAAAUCCUUGGCUCUAAUACAGUCGGGGGAUGACGGUACCGGAAGAAUAAGCACCGGCUAACUACGUGCCAGCAGCCGCGGUAAUACGUAGGGUGCAAGCGUUAAUCGGAAUUACUGGGCGUAAAGCGUGCGCAGGCGGUUUGCUAAGACCGAUGUGAAAUCCCCGGGCUCAACCUGGGAACUGCAUUGGUGACUGGCAGGCUAGAGUAUGGCAGAGGGGGGUAGAAUUCCACGUGUAGCAGUGAAAUGCGUAGAGAUGUGGAGGAAUACCGAUGGCGAAGGCAGCCCCCUGGGCCAAUACUGACGCUCAUGCACGAAAGCGUGGGGAGCAAACAGGAUUAGAUACCCUGGUAGUCCACGCCCUAAAACGAUGUCAACUAGUUGUUGGGGAUUCAUUUCCUUAGUAACGUAGCUAACGCGUGAAGUUGACCGCCUGGGGAGUACGGUCGCAAGAUUAAAACUCAAAGGAAUUGACGGGGUCAUAGCU